This 498-nucleotide ribosomal RNA is filed under the name uncultured bacterium. RNAcentral's name for it is "partial 16S ribosomal RNA". It matches the Rfam family "Bacterial small subunit ribosomal RNA", at positions 28 to 507 of the family's 1533-position model. The record is from RNAcentral.
GACGAACGCUGGCGGCGUGCCUAAUACAUGCAAGUCGAACGAGAGCAACCGGUGCUUGCACUGGUCAAUCUAGUGGCGAACGGGUGAGUAACACGUGGGUAACCUGCCCAUCAGAGGGGGAUAACAUCCGGAAACGGAUGCUAAAACCGCAUAGGUCUUCGAACCGCAUGGUUUGAAGAGGAAAAGAGGCGCAAGCUUCUGCUGAUGGAUGGACCCGCGGUGCAUUAGCUAGUUGGUGAGGUAACGGCUCACCAAGGCCGUGAUGCAUAGCCGACCUGAGAGGGUGAUCGGCCACAGUGGGACUGAGACACGGCCCAAACUCCUACGGGAGGCAGCAGUAGGGAAUCUUCCGCAAUGGACGCAAGUCUGACGGAGCAACGCCGCGUGAGUGAAGAAGGUUUUCGGAUCGUAAAACUCUGUUGUUAGAGAAGAACAAGUGCUAGAGUAACUGUUAGCGCCUUGACGGUAUCUAACCAGAAAGCCACGGCUAACUACGUG